CAGUUUUGAAAUGGCCUCAUUUACGUCAUGAAAAUUGAUACCAAACAGAGAUGCUUCCAUUCAAUUUAUCUUCCUCUUCGGAACACCAAAAGCAUUAGCAAGUCAGAUACAAAUUAGACCUCUCUUGAAUGUAAGCCUUAUGUCUGUCUUAUUCACUGUCGUGUGUCCAGGACUAAGGACAAUCACUAGCACGUGGGAAACUGGCCAGCAUCUUGUCACAGGCUGAGGAUGAAGCGGACACAGAGGAAGGCAAAGCCAGUUAAGCCACAAGCAGAUGGCGUCACAGCCAUUCAAUUCAGAUAAUCCUGAAUGGGUUCUAUCUCUGGACUUUCCAGGGAAGCGUUCCAAUCAAUUUCCCUGUGAUCAUAGUAAGAUCAAAUUGGACUUUCUGUCUUGCACUUAAAAGCAUUUUAAACUGAGAUGGCCACAUGGUGGAAAGAAGCCCUCAAUGUGGAACAAGAUACUUGGUUUACUCCCAGCACGCCACCAAUUGGCUGUGUGACCACAAGCAAGUGGUCCUUUCCCUCAUCUGAAAAGGGGAAGCUUUUGAACUAGACCAGUGGUCCUCAACCAUGGGUGGGUCUGCUCCCGUAAGAAAUAUUUGGGAAAAUGUGAGGCAUUUUUCAUGAUCACAGUAAUUGUGGAGAUACUAUUGAUAUUUGGCAGGCGGGGGACAGGGAUGCAAAAUGUCUACAAUGCGGGAUGAUCCCAUACAACAAAAAUUUGUCUAACCCAAAUUGCCUCUUGAGAUACUGCUAUAAAUGUUCCUCUUAUCUCCUGCUUCUCUUACAACUCUGUGGUCAUUUAUUCAUUUCUCUUAAUUUUCUGCUUUUUUACUCUUUGAGAUUUGCUGGCCUCUAUUUGGCUGUCUAGAUAGAGCCUAUAUAUCAGUGUUUCUCAAUUUUGGUCCCAAGGGAAGUAUGAAUCACCCUAGGGGAAUUGCUAAAAAUUCAGAUUCGUGGUCUCACUUGAAAACUACUGAAUCAGCAUCAAGAUCCCCAGGUGAGGCGUAUGCAGUCUCUAAUUUGCUUUACUUGCUUGUGCAUCUCACUAGGCCAUAAAAUGCUGACAACAUAAAAGUUUUCUUAUAAAACUGAUAAAUCACAGAUUCAGAGAACAGAUUG
Leptonychotes weddellii (Weddell seal) is the source of this 1124-nucleotide non-coding RNA. The record is from RefSeq and is a predicted model, not a curated record. NCBI's taxonomy places the organism in Eukaryota, Metazoa, Chordata, Mammalia, Carnivora, Phocidae.